GAUGAGAGGAUGCUGUAGAUUUCUGCAUUUGAUCUGCUGAAUUUCCACCUGAAUUUUGAUCCCAUGGUUCAGGCUGAAGCUUUCCUUACUUCUGCAGAUACUGCCCCCAACAUCAGCAGACCCACCUGAGCCAUCAGCCAUAACCCAGCGGGGAGAGUGAUCCUGUGCCACCUUGUCAGGCACGUCGUGAAGGUAGAUUUGAUUAUAAUGUAUGUGCUCCUUCCUCUUUGGAGGAAGGCAUCUGGGUUGCAGUACCAGAGCCACGGGAGAAGCUUUGCUCAAGCUAGCAAGCACAGUGCCCAUCUCGAGUCUCUGGAGAACUGCUCAGGAGCAGUUCUAGGUGUGAUCCUGACCACUGGAGAGACACUUAAAUGUAAAGCCGAAGGAAACUCCAGGCUGGGCCCAGUCCUGUAUUUCAGGAGAGGCUUGUUUCUGCUCAAGCACAAAUCUGGUGAGACAAGUUUUUUUCCCAAGGCAGGUUGUUUGCAAACUUUGGAGCCCAAAAGGUGCAGCUGCUCUAAAAAUAACACAGGAUACAAGAACUGGUUUGGGAAGGUUUCACUCUGCCCAAGUCCAGAGGCAUCUCCUGAAAUGCUGCCAUUAGGGGAGAAGUUUGCCUUGUAA
RNAcentral lists this long non-coding RNA (624 nucleotides) under Anser cygnoides (Swan goose). RNAcentral's name for it is "lncRNA (ENSACDG00005000386.1)". The record is from RNAcentral. Lineage: Eukaryota; Metazoa; Chordata; Aves; Anseriformes; Anatidae.